UACGUAGGCAGCGAGCGUUGUUCGGAAUUACUGGGCGUAAAGAGUGUGUAGGCGGUGCUCUAAGUUCGGUGUGAAAUCUCCUGGCUCAACUGGGAGGGUGCGCCGGAAACUGGAGUGCUUGAGCGUGGGAGAGGAAAGCGGAAUUCCUGGUGUAGCGGUGAAAUGCGUAGAUAUCAGGAGGAACACCUGUGGCGAAAGCGGCUCACUGGACCAUUACUGACGCUGAGGCUCGAAAGCUAGGGGAGCAAACAGG
This 253-nucleotide ribosomal RNA is filed under the name uncultured bacterium. Its description in RNAcentral is "partial 16S ribosomal RNA". It matches the Rfam family "Bacterial small subunit ribosomal RNA", at positions 524 to 776 of the family's 1533-position model. The record is from RNAcentral.